GCUACGGCAGGACAACCAGACGCUGAAUUAGCCUUCGUCGUUUGAACACUCCUGAACCUCAGGUCUUCAGCAUGAAGGUGAUUUUCGCAACACUGCUCCUUCUGGUGGCUCUGUUUGCCAUCUUGGGAUCCUCUGAGGCCAUGUCGGAGCCUGGAGCCGAUCCUGGUGGCAAUGGCUACAGUAGAUACAGAUCCUUCAGGCCUGUUUACAGGCGCGUCGUCAGCUAUGGUUAUGGUGGACACAGAGGCUACGGGUGGUAAUUGCCAUUGUUCAGGUGAACACCUUCCAGGAUUCCUUGACGUUUUUACUCAGCUCUGAUCAUGUUUUGAUGAUAAGAUACUAAACUUUGAUGUUCGUUCACAGUGAGGAAAAUUCCUUCAGUAAUUGUUUUGGCAAUAAACUAAAAGACACCUGC
Molecule: long non-coding RNA, 415 nt
Organism: Macrobrachium nipponense
Lineage: Eukaryota; Metazoa; Arthropoda; Malacostraca; Decapoda; Palaemonidae
Exons: 2
Source: RefSeq, a predicted model, not a curated record